CUUGAUUCAUCAUGUUAUGUAACAUUUUUUUGCAAUUUUCUUGUGCGAGUAUUUUAUAAAAACAUUGUUCAUUAUAUUGCAAUGUUUUAACGUUAAAAUACGAUAUGCUAUAAAUGUCACAAAAAAAGUUUUUUUUUUUAUUUUAAAUUCAAUGAAAGGAAAAUAAGAGCUAUUACGUUUGUAUGACGUCACUGCAGAGCUAACUGUAGCAGUUUCCUUUAUGAUUCCUUAGUUUAAGCUUACUUUUUUAUAUCUCUCCUUUGAUUGGAUAUCAAACAAGUCUUUUGAUUGGACAGCGAACCUUAAGGAAAUGUUGUUUUUCAUUCCGAUUACUCUCAAAACUCCGUUUACAGGAACACAAAAAACAUAUUUGCUAUAAGUUUUCUAUAAAUACAUUGCGGAACUCUAAAUCACACAAAAACGAUCUACUCUGCUCAGACAUUAAGGACUACUCCCAAGAGUUCAUUUAAGGAUGAUUUUUUUUGCAAUUUUGAUUAUGCUGGUUUCAAUUGAGCUAUUCAAAACGCAAGGACCACGCUCUGGAGUAAAAGAAGACAACAUAAAAGGUUUAAAAACAAGCACAAAACACUUUAAUGAAUGUAAUAAUUGUAGCGAUGAUAAGUUAAUGCUAUUUAUAAACACUGGGCUCAAAGAUUACCACAAUUUGAAUUUAAAAAACUGCAACAUUUCCAAAAGUAAUUUGAGUGAAUGGUGUAUUCAAAGAUUAAAGAUUAUGUUAAACAAAGCAGAUUCCGUUUGUAAGAUUUUUCCUCAGGAGUGUGAGUGCUUCAAAUUGUGUUACUAAAUGAAAAGAAUUAGUACGCGAUGUUUAAGUUUUUUGAAUAGUGAACGUUUACCUCCAAACUCUGCAUUUUUAUAUAUAACAACAAUCUUAGUUAGUAUUAUCUACGAUUAUUAUUAUUUGAUUAGUAUUUUUUCAAAGUAAUGUUUUGUGAUUAAACAAUAGUAUUUUUGUAAACUAACCUACAAGUAUAAUUAUAUCGUUUAAGUUUUUUUCUAUUUUUAUUUUUUUUUUCAAAUUUUUUUGUAACAUUCAAUCUAAUUGAUUUAUUUUACUUUGAAUAUAAAAAUCCUUAAUAACAGCGAUAUGUUUUGCUAUUACUCUUUCUUCA
Molecule: long non-coding RNA, 1133 nt
Organism: Hydra vulgaris (swiftwater hydra)
Lineage: Eukaryota; Metazoa; Cnidaria; Hydrozoa; Anthoathecata; Hydridae
Source: RefSeq, a predicted model, not a curated record